RNAcentral lists this transfer RNA (76 nucleotides) under Alphaproteobacteria bacterium. RNAcentral describes it as "tRNA-Ser". It matches the Rfam family "tRNA". Rfam says of the family: Transfer RNA (tRNA) molecules are approximately 80 nucleotides in length. The record is from RNAcentral. Lineage: Bacteria; Pseudomonadati; Pseudomonadota; Alphaproteobacteria.
CCUUGGAUAGCUCAACUGGUAGAGCAGUAGAUUGCUAAUCUACGUGUCGUGGGUUCGAGUCCCACUCCAAAUGCCC